Molecule: small RNA, 573 nt
Filed under: Pan troglodytes (chimpanzee)
Lineage: Eukaryota; Metazoa; Chordata; Mammalia; Primates; Hominidae
Description: retained intron
Source: RNAcentral
AUGGAAAAGAUGAUGAACAGAACUUCAUUCAAAAUCUCAGUUUGUUUCUCUGCACCUUUCUUAAGGAACAUGAUCAACUUAUAGAAAAAAGAUUAAAUCUCAGGGAAACUCUUAUGGAGGCCCUUCAUUAUAUGUUGUUGGUAUCUGAAGUAGAAGAAACUGAAAUCUUUAAAAUUUGUCUUGAAUACUGGAAUCAUUUGGCUGCUGAACUGUAUAGAGAGAGUCCAUUCUCUACAUCUGCCUCUCCGUUGCUUUCUGGAAGUCAACAUUUUGAUGUUCCUCCCAGGAGACAGCUAUAUUUGCCCAUGUUAUUCAAGGUAACAGAGCGGUUGGUUGAGUGUUCUUCCUGUUGCAUACUGUGGUUUUGAGGUCUGAAUCCAAAUACUUCUAAUCUGUGUAAAUAAAUUAGCUGUAAAAAGAGAACCCAACAACUUCUCCAUGAGUGUGGAAAACUAGAACAUGAAAGGAGUUGAGUCUAGAACCUUGAUUCUCAAGAGUGUGGUCCUUCUCUCAGUAUCAACAUUGGUUGUGAUUUCGUUAGGCAAAUUCAUUGGCCACCUGCCAAUCUACUAA